Molecule: ribosomal RNA, 253 nt
Filed under: uncultured bacterium
Lineage: Bacteria
Description: partial 16S ribosomal RNA
Rfam family: Bacterial small subunit ribosomal RNA
Source: RNAcentral
UACGUAGGGCGCAAGCGUUGUCCGGAAUUAUUGGGCGUAAAGAGCUCGUAGGCGGCCUGUUACGUCUGCUGUGAAAUCCCGGGGCUUAACCCCGGGCGUGCAGUGGAUACGGGCAGGCUGGAGGCAGGCAGGGGAGAACGGAAUUCCCGGUGUAGCGGUGAAAUGCGCAGAUAUCGAGAGGAAUACCUGUGGCGAAGGCGGCCAACUGGACGAGUACUGACACUGAGACACGAAAGCGUGGGGAGCAAACAGG